GCCGCUGUAGCUCAGGUGGUAGAGCAGAGGAGUGAAAAUCCUCGUGUCGUUGGUUCGAUUCCGACCGGAGGCACCA
RNAcentral lists this transfer RNA (76 nucleotides) under Clostridia bacterium. Its description in RNAcentral is "tRNA-Phe". It matches the Rfam family "tRNA". From Rfam's summary of the family: Transfer RNA (tRNA) molecules are approximately 80 nucleotides in length. Their secondary structure includes four short double-helical elements and three loops (D, anti-codon, and T loops). The record is from RNAcentral. Lineage: Bacteria; Bacillati; Bacillota; Clostridia.